GGAAAGAUGAAAAGAACUUUGAAAAGAGAGUCAAAGAGUGCUUGAAAUUGUCAGGAGGGAAACGAAUGGGGGUCGGCGAUGCGUGCUGGUUUGAUGUUGAACUACUCACAUACAGGGUAGGUUAGCCACUUGGCUCGGCACGUGGAUCGUUGCGGGCUGUGCUUGCGGUCCAAGCCUUGGGCAUUUGAUUUGCUCGAGGUAACGCCGUUGGUGCAGUCGAGGAUACAGUGCACGCUUCAAUGGCGCGUCGCUUGCGGCGCACUUGUGCGCUCCUAGCACUGUCCAGUGGGCUCCCCAUUCGACCGUCUUGAAACACGGACCA
This 322-nucleotide ribosomal RNA is filed under the name Peltoboykinia tellimoides. RNAcentral describes it as "LSU rRNA". It matches the Rfam family "Eukaryotic large subunit ribosomal RNA", at positions 358 to 668 of the family's 3401-position model. The record is from RNAcentral. Lineage: Eukaryota; Viridiplantae; Streptophyta; Magnoliopsida; Saxifragales; Saxifragaceae.